CUGGGGGGGGGGGUUUACCAUGCAAGUCGAACGGUGAAGCAGGAGCUUGCUCUUGUGGAUCAGUGGCGAACGGGUGAGUAACACGUGAGCAACCUGCCCCGGACUCUGGGAUAAGCGCUGGAAACGGCGUCUAAUACUGGAUAUGAGACGUGACCGCAUGGUCAACGUUUGGAAAGAUUUUUCGGUCUGGGAUGGGCUCGCGGCCUAUCAGCUUGUUGGUGAGGUAAUGGCUCACCAAGGCGUCGACGGGUAGCCGGCCUGAGAGGGUGACCGGCCACACUGGGACUGAGACACGGCCCAGACUCCUACGGGAGGCAGCAGUGGGGAAUAUUGCACAAUGGGCGAAAGCCUGAUGCAGCAACGCCGCGUGAGGGAUGACGGCCUUCGGGUUGUAAACCUCUUUUAGCAGGGAAGAAGCGAGAGUGACGGUACCUGCAGAAAAAGCGCCGGCUAACUACGUGCCAGCAGCCGCGGUAAUACGUAGGGCGCAAGCGUUAUCCGGAAUUAUUGGGCGUAAAGAGCUCGUAGGCGGUCUGUCGCGUCUGCUGUGAAAUCUGGAGGCUCAACCUCCAGCCUGCAGUGGGUACGGGCAGACUAGAGUGCGGUAGGGGAGAUUGGAAUUCCUGGUGUAGCGGUGGAAUGCGCAGAUAUCAGGAGGAACACCGAUGGCGAAGGCAGAUCUCUGGGCCGUAACUGACGCUGAGGAGCGAAAGGGUGGGGAGCAAACAGGCUUAGAUACCCUGGUAGUCCACCCCGUAAACGUUGGGAACUAGUUGUGGGGUCCUUUCCACGGAUUCCGUGACGCAGCUAACGCAUUAAGUUCCCCGCCUGGGGAGUACGGCCGCAAGGCUAAAACUCAAAGGAAUUGACGGGGACCCGCACAAGCGGCGGAGCAUGCGGAUUAAUUCGAUGCAACGCGAAGAACCUUACCAAGGCUUGACAUACACGAGAACGGGCCAGAAAUGGUCAACUCUUUGGACACUCGUGAACAGGUGGUGCA
RNAcentral lists this ribosomal RNA (1000 nucleotides) under Microbacterium sp. HBUM178158. Its description in RNAcentral is "bacterial SSU rRNA". It matches the Rfam family "Bacterial small subunit ribosomal RNA", at positions 36 to 1045 of the family's 1533-position model. Lineage: Bacteria; Bacillati; Actinomycetota; Actinomycetes; Micrococcales; Microbacteriaceae. The record is from RNAcentral.